AGUGAACGCUGGCGGUAGGCCUAACACAUGCAAGUCGAACGGCAGCACAGUAAGAGCUUGCUCUUACGGGUGGCGAGUGGCGGACGGGUGAGGAAUACAUCGGAAUCUACUUUUUCGUGGGGGAUAACGUAGGGAAACUUACGCUAAUACCGCAUACGACCUACGGGUGAAAGCAGGGGAUCUUCGGACCUUGCGCGAUUGAAUGAGCCGAUGUCGGAUUAGCUAGUUGGCGGGGUAAAGGCCCACCAAGGCGACGAUCCGUAGCUGGUCUGAGAGGAUGAUCAGCCACACUAGAACUGAGACACGGUCCAGACUCCUACGGGAGGCAGCAGUGGGGAAUAUUGGACAAUGGGCGCAAGCCUGAUCCAGCCAUACCGCGUGGGUGAAGAAGGCCUUCGGGUUGUAAAGCCCUUUUGCUGGGAAAGAAAAGCAGCAGGUUAAUACCCCGCUGUUCUGACGGUACCCAAAGAAUAAGCACCGGCUAACUUCGU
RNAcentral lists this ribosomal RNA (491 nucleotides) under uncultured bacterium. RNAcentral describes it as "partial 16S ribosomal RNA". It matches the Rfam family "Bacterial small subunit ribosomal RNA", at positions 29 to 506 of the family's 1533-position model. The record is from RNAcentral.